UCCCUGGUGGUCCAGUGGUUAAGAACCACCUUCUAAUACAGGGGACUCGGGUUCAACUCCUGAUCAGGGAA
RNAcentral lists this transfer RNA (71 nucleotides) under Muntiacus reevesi (Reeves' muntjac). It matches the Rfam family "tRNA". Rfam says of the family: Transfer RNA (tRNA) molecules are approximately 80 nucleotides in length. Their secondary structure includes four short double-helical elements and three loops (D, anti-codon, and T loops). RNAcentral also lists the same sequence under 7 other names. Lineage: Eukaryota; Metazoa; Chordata; Mammalia; Artiodactyla; Cervidae. The record is from Rfam by way of RNAcentral.